Molecule: long non-coding RNA, 1461 nt
Filed under: Homo sapiens (human)
Lineage: Eukaryota; Metazoa; Chordata; Mammalia; Primates; Hominidae
Description: HSALNT0305427
Source: RNAcentral
CAGACCUGAGGUCUUCCUCUGCAUUUCAUUUGCUGUUCCCUGGCCUGCAAUGCCCCUUCCUUCCCACCUCCCCCGAGGGCCUAGCAGCCCCUCCUACACAGCCCUCUAGCCCCUCUGUGCUCAAAGUGCAUCUGAGGACAUCACCUGAGAGCUGUAGGAGAUGCAGGAUCUCAGGCCCCACCCCAAACCUACUGAAGCCAAAUCUGCUGUUUAACGUGAUCCCUGGAGAUUCAUAAGCAUGUUGUCUGUGCAGCACGGAGUGAGGGGCGGCUCCUCUUCGCUGCACCCCUUCCUGAUUACCCCUAGGCCCAGCCAAAUAAACUCUUCUUCCUGCUCCCUUGUGCCCCAUUUGGACUUCACUCGUAACAAGGGAGUAUAACUGGAUGGUAAAAGGGACUUUUCCUGUUAUCUAGACAUUUCAGCAGAGGCCUCAAAGGCAGAACAAAAUAGUGCAAGGAGCCGCACAUCCGCACAGUGCUGAGACCCUGCCCAGGACAAGCUUGCAGAUCCUGGCACCCAAGUGACAACCUGCAUUGAAAAGGCGGAACUUGGCUCUCCUGCCCUGCCAGCUGUAAGAGCUUGAAAGCAAAGCUAUGGGGGGAAUGUCUUUCAUUUCCCCCUGGAAGCUGGGAGGACGUUCAGCUUAGCAUUGCCAACUGUGUAAUGUGGACUUGCCUCUAAAAGAAGCCUUUUUCCUUGGAUGUCUUUCAGGCCGCAGUAUUCCCUUUGGCACCCCCACCCACCUGGAACAAAGCCUGAUGUAAAGUCUGGGUGCGACUCAGACCGGCCUGGGAAAGAAUUUAUUUAAUAAAUGGUGGAAAGUGGCUUCCUUGACGUGUCUUCGAUGGCUUUUUUAUAAAGCAUUUGGUUUGUCUACUCGUCUGUUUUUGCGCCAUCUCUUUCCACAAAGAUGGCUUAUAGCAGGGAUACUUACAACAAAAUGAUGCUGGGAAAACAAAAACAAAGAAGUAGAGAAUUAGGCCUGAGAAAACUAGGAGUAGAGAGUCACGAUUAGAUACAGAGGAGCAUAGAUGUGUAGUCUAGGAAGGCCAACUAAUUGUUAUAGCUGAAAUUCAAAUUCAGUUAGCUAAAAUGUUCCUAGUGUCAAAGGAAGAAUGGGCCACACAGUUGCAUAAUCCUUAGUAUUAGGGAGAAGGAAAAGGUUCCAGUUAUUCAGAGGGAUGUUCUCUUGCCUUAUUCCUUUAAUAAGUAUCUGUUAAAGGCCCACCAUGUGCCAAGCACCAUGCCCGGCAAGCACUGCACUCACCCCCCAGGAACUCAGUGUCUAAAGGAGACUGGGUGAAAGAACUAUAUUUGUGUGCCUAUGAUGUGUCAAAUACUAUGCAUUUAGUUAUGCAGUUACUGUAUGUUAGACACUAUGCAUUUAAUUAUUUACCUGCUGUAUAUCAGACACCAUGCAUUUUCAUUUAACCCUCAUAAGCACUUACAUCAAGUAGACAC